UUUCCGUAGGUGAACCUGCGGAAGGAUCAUUGCACACACGAUGCAGCAAACUAGCGAACUGUGUUUGUCCCCCACCUACCCCAAACACGAGGGGCCGCAUCUGGAGGUGCGGCUGUCGACGGCAAGGUCCCGACCUUCGGGUCCCCGCAGUGGUUCCCGCAAGCGGGCUGAUCAUGUCGCCUUCUGGGUGUCCCGCGCGGCCUCUCGGCUUGCCUUAGGGUUGGGCGACGCGGGCAUUCUCCUCCCUUCGAUGGCGUCGUCCCCUCCUCCGGGAGAGCGACACGCCUCGAGGGCCGUUUGCAACUUUGCACCAUGUACAACGCCAGUGACUGGGGAUAGCUGUGUCCCGGUUCCGCUGCUGACAUCGGGUGGUGGGGGAUUGGUCCAUAGGAACAAGAGUAAAUAAACACAACUCUCAGCAACGGAUAUCUUGGCUCUU
This 439-nucleotide unclassified non-coding RNA is filed under the name plant metagenome. Its description in RNAcentral is "partial contains small subunit ribosomal RNA, internal transcribed spacer 1, and 5.8S ribosomal RNA". The record is from RNAcentral.